UAACAGAGAGUUCGAUCCUGGCUCAGAUUGAACGCUGGCGGGAUGCUUUACACAUGCAAGUCGAACGGCAGCACGGACUUCGGUCUGGUGGCGAGUGGCGAACGGGUGAGUAAUGUAUCGGAACGUGCCUAGUAGCGGGGGAUAACUACGCGAAAGCGCAGCUAAUACCGCAUACGCCCUUCGGGGGAAAGCGGGGACCUUCGGGCCUCGCACUAUUAGAGCGGCCGAUAUCGAUUAGCUGAAGGGAAAACGGCUCACCAUGCGACGAUCCGUAGCUGGUUUGAGAGGACGACCAGCCACACUGGACUGACAGACGACGUCCAGACUUCCACGGAGGCAGCAGUGGGGAAUUUUGGACAAUGGGGGAAACCCCCGAUCCAGCCAUCCGCGUGUGCGAUGAAGGCCUUCGGCGAAAAAGACUUUUGGCAGGAAAGAAACGGCACGGGAUAAUACCCGUGCAACUGACGGUACCUGCAGAAUAAGCACCGGCUAACCACGCGCCAGCAGCCGCGGUAAUACGUAGGGUGCAAGCGUUAACGGAAUUACUGGGCGUAAAGUGUGCGUGCAGGGCGGUUCGGAAAGAAAGAUGUGAGAUCCCAGAGCUUAACUUGGAACUGCAUUUACCACCGAGCCAGAGUGUGUCAGAGGGAGGUGGAAUUCCGCGUGUAGCAGUGAAAUGCGUAGAUAUGCGGAGGAACACCGAUGGCGAAGGCAGCCUCCUGGGAUAACACUGACGCUCAUGCACGAAAGCGUGUGGCGUAAAUGGUGAUUGAUACCCUGUAGUCCACGCCCUAAACGAUGUCAACUAGCUGUUGGGGCCUUUCGGGCCUGGUAGCGCAGCUAACGCGUGAAGUUGACCGCCUGGGGAGUACGGUCGCAAAGAUUAAAACUCCAAAGGAAUUGACGGGGACUCCGGGCACAAGCGGUGGAUGAUGUGGAUUAAUUCGAUGCAACGCGAAAAACCUUACCCACCCCCUUGACAUGUUCGGAAUCCCGAAGAGAUCGGGAGUGCUCGCAAGAGAACCGGAACACAGGUGCUGCAUGGCUGUCGUCAGCUCGUGUCGGGAGAGAUGUUGCCAAGUCCCGCAACGGCGGCAACCCUUGUCAUUAGUUGCUACGAAAGGGUAAUCAUCGAGACUGCCGGUGACAAACCGGAGUGAAGGUGGAUGACGUCAAGUCCUCAUGGCCCUUAUGUAGGGCUUCACACGUCAUACAAUGGUCGGGACAGAGGGUCGCCAACCCGCGAGGGGGAGCCAAUCCCCGUGAAACCCGAUCGUAGUCCGGAUCGCAGUCUGCAACCUCGACUGCGUGAAGUCGGAAUCGCUAGUAAUCGCGGAUCAGCAUGUCGCGGUGAAUACGUUCCCGGGUCUGUGCGCACCGCCCGUCACACCAUGGGAGUGGGUUUACCAGAAGUAGUUAGGCCUAACCGUAAGGAGGGCGAUUACCACGGUAGGAUUCAAGGAUCAGUGAAGUCGUAACAAGGUAG
RNAcentral lists this ribosomal RNA (1486 nucleotides) under uncultured Bordetella sp. RNAcentral describes it as "partial 16S-23S ribosomal RNA intergenic spacer". It matches the Rfam family "Bacterial small subunit ribosomal RNA". Lineage: Bacteria; Pseudomonadati; Pseudomonadota; Betaproteobacteria; Burkholderiales; Alcaligenaceae. The record is from RNAcentral.